RNAcentral lists this ribosomal RNA (492 nucleotides) under uncultured bacterium. Its description in RNAcentral is "partial 16S ribosomal RNA". It matches the Rfam family "Bacterial small subunit ribosomal RNA", at positions 29 to 507 of the family's 1533-position model. The record is from RNAcentral.
AGUGAACGCUGGCGGUAGGCCUAACGCAUGCAAGUCGAACGGCAGCACAGUAAGAGCUUGCUCUUACGGGUGGCGAGUGGCGGACGGGUGAGGAAUACAUCGGAAUCUACUUUUUCGUGGGGGAUAACGUAGGGAAACUUACGCUAAUACCGCAUACGACCUACGGGUGAAAGCAGGGGAUCUUCGGACCUUGCGCGAUUGAAUGAGCCGAUGUCGGAUUAGCUAGUUGGCGGGGUAAAGGCCCACCAAGGCGACGAUCCGUAGCUGGUCUGAGAGGAUGAUCAGCCACACGAGAACUGAGACACGGUCCAGACUCCUACGGGAGGCAGCAGUGGGGAAUAUUGGACAAUGGGCGCAAGCCUGAUCCAGCCAUACCGCGUGGGUGAAGAAGGCCUUCGGGUUGUAAAGCCCUUUUGUUGGGAAAGAAAAGCAGCAGGUUAAUACCCCGCUGUUCUGACGGUACCCAAAGAAUAAGCACCGGCUAACUUCGUG